GACGAACGCUGGCGGCAUGCCUAAUACAUGCAAGUCGAGCGAACAGAUGAAGUGCUUGCACUUCUGACGUUAGCGGCGAACGGGUGAGUAACACGUAAGGAAUCUACCUAUAAGCGGGGGAUAACAUUCGGAAACGGGUGCUAAUACCGCAUAAUAUCUUCUUCCGCAUGGAAGAAGAUUGAAAGACGGCUCUGCUGUCACUUAUAGAUGACCUUGCGGUGCAUUAGUUAGUUGGUGGGGUAACGGCCUACCAAGACGAUGAUGCAUAGCCGACCUGAGAGGGUGAUCGGCCACAUUGGGACUGAGACACGGCCCAAACUCCUACGGGAGGCAGCAGUAGGGAAUCUUCCGCAAUGGGCGAAAGCCUGACGGAGCAAUGCCGCGUGAGUGAAGAAGGCCUUCGGGUCGUAAAACUCUGUUAUAAGAGAAGAACAAAUUGUAGAGUAACUGCUACAGUCUUGACAGUAUCUUAUCAGAAAGCCACGGCUAACUACGUG
Molecule: ribosomal RNA, 497 nt
Filed under: uncultured bacterium
Lineage: Bacteria
Description: partial 16S ribosomal RNA
Rfam family: Bacterial small subunit ribosomal RNA
Source: RNAcentral